This 2041-nucleotide long non-coding RNA is filed under the name Dasypus novemcinctus (nine-banded armadillo). Its description in RNAcentral is "lncRNA (ENSDNOG00000051370.1)". Lineage: Eukaryota; Metazoa; Chordata; Mammalia; Cingulata; Dasypodidae. The record is from RNAcentral.
CGCGGUGUGCGCAGCUAGCAGGGAGAGGCAGGGCCCCUGACACGGCUCCGUCGCGCCAUUAGAUGCAGCACUGGGCACAGAAGUCGGCUCAGCGAUUCCGUUUACUGGAGAGUCAGCAGGAGAGUAAGAGAUGGGAAUCCACAGAAAGAUAUCCUGUGGCAUUGGAAGCUCUACGUAGCUCCCUUGGGGAAUGUGAUCCUGUGGUGUUUGCAGCCUGUGCUUGCCCACCGCGUCGUAAAGGCGGGAACGUGCGUUUUAGAGUCCAGGGAAUCUCCCCGCCAAAACCCAGCGCUUUCCAAGUGUGUGAGAUGGAUGAGUCUUCAGCGAAGAUCCAUUGCAAAAAAAGACAACAUAUACUAUUAAGGCAACUCAAGGGUUACAUCGUAAACAAGUAAACUUGAAUGCUAUUUAGUCAAAUACUCUGAAUGGAAUUAAAUUUUAGAGUUGGCAUUAAUGACUUUUUCAGCCUUUCCUUCUCCCUCCCCCGAAAAUAUUAUUGUUCUGAUCUCAAUGUCAGUAAUAUAUACGGAGAAUAUGCUUAUGGCUGUCCCAUUCCUUCUUUCUAACGAUGUUUAAAUUGAAAAUGCUGAAGUCAGGCGUGCCUUUUCCCACUCGGAAGAUAUAAGCAUUCUCGGUCAAUUAGAGGAGUGUAUGCUAAUAUAAUGCAAAGAUACAGACAGAAAGUCCCAACGUGGGGCUAUUUACCUCUUCACUCAGAUAAGAGUGUACCCGCCAAUGCACAAGAAUUAGGGUAAGAGAUCCUUCUCCCCAGACCAAGCUGCACGCUCCGUCGCCAAAGCCUGGACACUCUUCCCCUGCUGCAGUGUCAUACUGCACCAGGGCCCUAGGACAAACCCUUCCCACUCAAGCCUCCAGCCACUUCACGGCAUAUUCCUUCCACUUGUUUUCCUUACCAUCUCUCCUAGGGAGUCAGGCAAGCAGGAUGCGGUGACAAUGGAAUACAGGGAUGGCAUUGAGGACUUGAGGGACAAAAGAGUGACCUUAACCAAGGGGGACUGCCAAAAGUGAACAGAUUUGGGUGGGAGAAGGAGGCUGAAGAGAAGAAGCCUCAAACAUCUAGAGUCUAAAGUAACAAGAGGUUUAGUCACCACGGGAAAUGCAGAUCUGGAACUCCAGAGAGACGUCAAAAGCUCCUAGGAACUGUUUAUUUAAUCAUUAUAUUUACUGAAUUCCCUGCUUUGUCUUAGAUGGACAGAUUCGCUUGUGAGUGACAGGAAUACAAUGAACAAAACAAAGUCCCUAAUCUAAGGCUUACAUGCUAGGGAAGGAAGACAAGAAGUAAACAAAUAGACAAUCUAAAAAUUCACCCUAUGAUGUCAGGUAGGGAUAAGUACUAUGUAAAAAAAGAGGGGGGGGAGUCUCAGCAGGGCAAGAUAGAGAAGGUGGAGAACUCCUUUCUGAGAAGUGACAUUUGAACAGAGACCUGAAUGAAAUGCAGGAAGACGGCAUGACCCAGAAAGAGUUUAUGCAGUAAGAAAAAAGGCUCCAGAGCAACCAGUGUCGUUCACCCUUUCAUCAUCUUCAACUGGAUGAGGACAGUCGCCUACUACUGGGUCUCUCUCCUCUAGUUUCUCUCUCAAAUCCAUUCCCCAGUCUGCCACACAUUCAGGUUUGGAAUUGGUGACUUUUGUUUACUGAUGCAUCCCCAACACCUGGAAAAGGUCCUAACACAAAAUAGGCUCUCAAUAAAAAGGGAGGGGGGAAGGAAGAAAGGUAAGACAGGAGGAAAGGAAGAAAGAGUAUCUGGAAAAAAAGAUAAAAGUAGAAAGAAAUAAUCUCAAACUUUAUCCAUAGUUCUAACACCUCAAUGCAAGCAGUUAUGUUUGCACAUUGCUACAAUUUAAGGAAUUUUAAUAUGAUCGCUAUUAUACUACAGGAACAAUUUAAAAUCCCAAUUUUCCCCUAUAUUAUUUCAUAGAACUUUUCAUUUUAUAACAUUUUUAUCAUUGUAUAAACAUCAUUUCUCAUAACUAUGAGGUAUUUCAUUGAGAAAAAAUACCUUAGUUUACUUAGUCCUGUU